CUAAGUUUGAUGGCGACCGGCGCACGGGUGAGUAACACGUAUCCAACCUGCCGAUAACUCCGGAAUAGCCUUUCGAAAGGAAGAUUAAUACCGGAUAGCAUACGAAUAUCGCAUGAUAUUUUUAUUAAAGAAUUUCGGUUAUCGAUGGGGAUGCGUUCCAUUAGUUUGUUGGCGGGGUAACGGCCCACCAAGACUACGAUGGAUAGGGGUUCUGAGAGGAAGGUCCCCCACAUUGGAACUGAGACACGGCCCAGACUCCUACGGGAGGCAGCAUG
RNAcentral lists this ribosomal RNA (275 nucleotides) under uncultured bacterium. RNAcentral describes it as "partial 16S ribosomal RNA". It matches the Rfam family "Bacterial small subunit ribosomal RNA", at positions 79 to 353 of the family's 1533-position model. The record is from RNAcentral.